This 542-nucleotide long non-coding RNA is filed under the name Anas platyrhynchos platyrhynchos (common mallard). RNAcentral describes it as "lncRNA (ENSAPLG00000017041.1)". Lineage: Eukaryota; Metazoa; Chordata; Aves; Anseriformes; Anatidae. The record is from RNAcentral.
CUUGGGGUUUAUUUUUCUGUGGCUGUUGUCAACUGUUUUUAAAUGGUGCAAAAGAAAAUCCGACAUCUUCGCUCACAAGGAGAGAUGCCUGGACAGGGUUUACAGUCCAUCAACGCCGUAAGAGCAGGGGUGAUGUAAGACAAGGCGACAGCACUCAAGCCCAAAACCUGACGGAUGGACUCUCUUGGAAGGAAGGGAUUCUUCUUUCCAAUUCCUUCAGUUUGGGGACCUGACGUGGUCCCUUCCAAACUGAGGUAGUUUCUUCUGUGUAAUUUUUUCCAACAGACAAUUUUCAUUUGGAAAUAUAUAACUGACAGAUCUGCAGAGGUUCUGGCAAGAGAUGGUUUUCUGUUGCUUAUCCUGAGUAAUCUGAGCUAAUGUUGCUUUAUUGUUGCAUUUAAUCUUGUUGCUUUUUAUUUUUUUUUAUUAUUUUACUUUGGAUAACUUGCUAAAAUCCAAACAACUUAUGUUGAAGGGAGGACAAUGCAGCCAGUUCAAGACCUGUCUAUGCAGUAAUAAAUAUAUUCAAAGAAGAAGCUGCA